GACGAACGCUGGCGGCGUGCCUAAUACAUGCAAGUCGAGCGGAACUUAGAAAGCUUGCUUUCUAAGUUUAGCGGCGGACGGGUGAGUAACACGUGGGCAACCUGCCUAUAAGACUGGGAUAACUUCGGGAAACCGGAGCUAAUACCGGAUAAUAUAAAAGAUCACAUGGUCUUUUAUUGAAAGAUGGCUUCGGCUAUCACUUAUAAAUGGGCCCGCGGCGCAUUAGCUAGUUGGUGAGGUAAUGGCUCACCAAGGCGACGAUGCGUAGCCGACCUGAGAGGGUGAUCGGCCACACUGGGACUGAGACACGGCCCAGACUCCUACGGGAGGCAGCAGUAGGGAAUCUUCCGCAAUGGACGAAAGUCUGACGGAGCAACGCCGCGUGAGCGAUGAAGGCCUUCGGGUCGUAAAGCUCUGUUGUUAGGGAAGAACAAGUAUCGUUCGAAUAGGGCGGUACCUUGACGGUACCUAACCAGAAAGCCACGGCUAACUACGUG
RNAcentral lists this ribosomal RNA (497 nucleotides) under uncultured bacterium. RNAcentral's name for it is "bacterial SSU rRNA". It matches the Rfam family "Bacterial small subunit ribosomal RNA", at positions 28 to 507 of the family's 1533-position model. The record is from RNAcentral.